AUAUCACCUAACCACAAAAGAAAAAAAGAAUAUGAUAUUUAUCUGCAAAAAAGGUGCAUUUUAGAAAGUAGGAUAUAUUCUCAGGAAGUACCAUACAACUUGGAUGGUCUAGCAUGAAAAUGCAACCAUUAUGCAGAUUCUUGACAACCAUUAUAAAUACCAGACUCUGCAUAAACUUUAAAAAAAUAUAGCGAAUCUAAAUCAUCUUCAUAGUUUCGUUAGUCUAGAGUUCCCCUAUUGCCACUUCAUAUUAUAAAUUUAACUAUGUCUUCCUGUACCAACUGUGACUGCUUUGACAAGGCCAACUGCACCACUGAGGAGACUAUUGUGAUGGAGGUUCCUGCAGCUGAAAAUAAUGGCAACUGCAAGUGUGGUGCUAACUGCAGCUGCACCAACUGCACAUGUGGUCACUAGAAUAUGAUGAUGUAACCGGAACUCACUGGUGUCCAGUAUGCGAUAGCUAAUGUUAGUCUAUGGUUCAAUAAAACUGUCACACAUAUGUGGCUAUGGUCCAUAACUAUAUAAAUAUACUUACUGUUGUAACGUAGUUUGAUCUGUUUGUUUUAUGCACGCGUUUAUUACAAAAACAAAAACAAAAAAAAAAAAAAAAAAAAAAAAAAAAAAAACUCACAAGAACUGCUGAGGGUAUCCAAUGUUGACAC
This 662-nucleotide long non-coding RNA is filed under the name Helianthus annuus (common sunflower). The record is from RNAcentral. Lineage: Eukaryota; Viridiplantae; Streptophyta; Magnoliopsida; Asterales; Asteraceae.